CUUAAUUGGAAAAUACACCCACAUAAGGAAAGUGAAGCUCCCAACCCUUCGAACAGAGAUUCGAUCCCGACGACAAUUUUCCCAGGUAGGUGGCACUACAGUGAAGAUACGGUUGUUGCUGGGAGCAUUAUUUCGUCGGUUGCUAUCUCCAUCGAACUUUCAUGUUUUCGAAGACGAUUACAUUCCGUCGUCCUUUUCCACUCGCUCCCCAAACGUAUAAGUUUCUUGGUUGCCUUAAUUGGAGAAUACACCCACAUACGGAAAGUGAAGCUCCCAACCCUUCGAACAAAGAUCCGAUCCCGACGACAAUUUUCCCAGGUUGGUGGUACUACAACAAAGAUACGAUUGUUGCUGGGAGCAUUUCGUCAGUUGCCAUCUCCGGCAAACUUUCACAUUUUUUAAGACGGUUACAUUCCAUCGUCCUUCUCCAUCUCGCUCCCCAAAUGUGCAUGUUUCUUUGUACGAUUGUUGUUGGAAGCAUUAUUUCGUCAGUUGCCAUCUCUGUCGAACUUUCAUGUUUUCGAAGACGGUUGCAUUCCAUCUUCCUUCUCCAUCUCGCACCCCAAACGUCUAAGCUUCUUUGUUUGAUUUUUCAAAUUUUAACUUUCUUCAUUUGGAAAGAUGAUAAAUGGCGGUCUCGUUACCUUGAAGAUUUUUAAUUACUGUCCAUGUGCAGAUUUACCAAUUUUUAACCUUCUUCAUUCGGAAAAGCCAUCUCCGUGCCGUCUUCGAUCAAAGAUUGUUGUUUAAAGGGCCUUUGAUUAUGGUCA
Molecule: long non-coding RNA, 770 nt
Filed under: Olea europaea subsp. europaea
Lineage: Eukaryota; Viridiplantae; Streptophyta; Magnoliopsida; Lamiales; Oleaceae
Source: RNAcentral